Molecule: non-coding RNA, 341 nt
Organism: Paramuricea clavata
Lineage: Eukaryota; Metazoa; Cnidaria; Anthozoa; Malacalcyonacea; Plexauridae
Source: the annotation of a GenBank genome assembly
GUCGGCGAGCGUACAAACCGUAUUCUCGAUAUACUCAAACACACGUAAAAGGUAAGCAUUGUUUAUUAAAUUAUGAAAUCAGGUCUGUUGAUGUCCCUGAUGUACUUUUUAAUGUAAGACGUGCGUGCAUGCACAAAUAUAUUUUUAUAUUUUAUAAAUAAUGACAACUCUCCCAAUUUGAAACAAAUGUUUAUAUAAAUCUGUUACUUCCAAUGCCGAAAAGAUAAUUUCUCAAAGAAAAUUCAAAGUUAUGAGCUUUCGGCUGAUGUCAGAUAGGCUCCGUACGUCGACCUUUGUAUUUAGUACAUUAAAUUAAUAAUUACUUAUUUGUUAUAGCAGUU